This 254-nucleotide ribosomal RNA is filed under the name uncultured prokaryote. RNAcentral's name for it is "partial 16S ribosomal RNA". It matches the Rfam family "Bacterial small subunit ribosomal RNA", at positions 522 to 775 of the family's 1533-position model. The record is from RNAcentral.
AAUACGUAGGCAGCAAGCGUUGUUCGGAAUUACUGGGCGUAAAGAGUGUGUAGGCGGUGCUCUAAGUCUGUCGUGAAAUCUCCCGGCUUAACUGGGAGGGUGCGGCGGAAACUGGAGUGCUCGAGUAUGGGAGAGGUAAGCGGAAUUCCUGGUGUAGCGGUGAAAUGCGUAGAUAUCAGGAGGAACACCUGUGGUGUAGACAGCUUACUGGACCAUUACUGACGCUGAGACACGAAAGCGUGGGUAGCAAACAG